This 72-nucleotide transfer RNA is filed under the name Sphaerodactylus townsendi. RNAcentral describes it as "tRNA-Val". It matches the Rfam family "tRNA". From Rfam's summary of the family: Transfer RNA (tRNA) molecules are approximately 80 nucleotides in length. The record is from RNAcentral. Lineage: Eukaryota; Metazoa; Chordata; Lepidosauria; Squamata; Sphaerodactylidae.
GGGGCUGCAGCUCAGUGCUAGUGCAUCUGCUUUACAAGCAGAAGGUUCCAGAUUUAAUCCCUGGCGUCUCCA